UAGUCCACGCCGUAAACGAUGAGCACUAGAUUUUGGUGGUAUUGACUCCUUCAGAAUCGCAGCUAACGCAUUAAGUGCUCCGCCUGGGGAGUACGGUCGCAAGACUAAAACUCAAAGGAAUUGACGGGGGGCCCGCACAAGCGGUGGAGCAUGUGGUUUAAUUCGAUGCAACGCGAAAAACCUUACCUGGGUUUGACAUGUACUGGAAGUAUUCAGAGAUGAAUACGCCUUCGGGCCGGUACACAGGUGCUGCAUGGCUGUCGUCAGCUCGUGUCGUGAGAUGUUGGGUUAAGUCCCGCAACGAGCGCAACCCUUAUCUUUAGUUGCCAGCAUUUAGUUGGGCACUCUAAAGAGACUGCCGACGUUAAGUCGGAGGAAGGUGGGGAUGACGUCAAGUCCUCAUGGCCUUUAUAUCCAGGGGCUACACACGUGCUACAAUGGUA
This 443-nucleotide ribosomal RNA is filed under the name uncultured bacterium. Its description in RNAcentral is "bacterial SSU rRNA". It matches the Rfam family "Bacterial small subunit ribosomal RNA", at positions 791 to 1235 of the family's 1533-position model. The record is from RNAcentral.